UGGGGGGGUAUGAAGACUGGGGGAGGGGGGCGUGAAUGUGUGUCGGAACUGUUCAAACAGUCAAACCGCUGUCAGCCAUUAAGCAAUGCAUCCAUCAGCAAGGCGUUGGUCAAGUGAUCGAUCGAUUGGUUUGAGGAGCGAUCGGCUGGAUGGCUGCGGCCCAAACUACCUCCGUUCCGUCGGGUUUUGGGGCAGAAAAAAACUCAAACCUUUGAGAUGAAUCUGUGGGUUUUGAUUUCCAGUGUCUGCAGGGACAGAAGCUACGGGUUGUCCCGGGCGACAAGCCUACGAUGAGACCCGCGCACUCCCCGAUCCAACUCGCCCCACGGCCCGUUUAGAAGCAGGUCCAGGUCCAGUCAACGCCUCGGACUUCACCUGAUCCGGUCUGAAGGAUCAAGGGCCCAAGGAGGUCACAGGAAGAACCUUUACCGUGAGAGUCCACGCUAAUCCGGCUGGAUGCCAAAAGGUCAAGUUCCAAUCCGUUUUAAGGAAGGACGCUCCGAGGUCAAACCUCCUGCGACGGACUCGUGAGGUUGUUUCACGCUUCACCGAUAGAGAACGAAGCAAAAUAACCGACAAACUGCCUCACGUGGAACUUCCUGCUGAUUCCCAGAGGACCACGGGCCUCCUCUUCAGGGGGAGCCGACGCGGUUUGACUUGACCUUGGACCGCUUCAACCCAGCGUCUUCAGGCUGAAUGACCACUCGAUGCUUUCUUCUCUGGACAAUCACUCCGUACCACAGCACACUGAGCCCGAUGCCUGCCGACCGACCGGUACCUGUGUCCCUGACCCCUGACCUCUCCUCCUCGCUCCAUUCCUUACACCCCUCAACCUGUUCCCUCCCUGUCCUCUUUGGCCGUCCUAUUGGCCAGGAAGACUUUUAGUAACGUACUGCCCGACCAGUCAAGACUGUGGAAUCCGCCAGAACCGUAAAUCUUAACUGUAUCCAGAAUCACAUUUUGAAUACAUUCCAGCUCUGUAGACGAGCGGAUGGACGUGCUAACGUGCUAACGCUAAUGCGGACCGUUGAGGACAAGAACCGCCCUGGAAAAGGGGGAUUUCGGGUUCAGCACCAGUUGGCGAGCCUUCGCACAUCCGCCCACACAGCCAUGCUAACCGCACCCAGGGGAAAUACUGUGCCAUGUGAAGAACCGGACCGGAUCGUGUCAGAACUGGACCGGACUCGGACCAAAACCGGAUGAAAAACCAGCCCGGAGUGGCGUUUUCGACCGGACUCAAGGACUUUUAAGACUUGUGGCCAUAAUUGUAAACAACAAAAGAAUGAAGAUAAUAAUAAUAAUAAUAAUAAUGAUGGUGAUAAAGUAUAAGUUAAACACUACAAAAACAAAGGAGAAAAUAACUAUGAAAUGUUAACGUGUAAUAAGAACUUUGUGGAUUUUAAGGAGGUGAACUUGUAUAAAGCUGAACGUUCGGGGGGGGCGGGGCUUAAUAUGUUGCAUGUGGAGUCUGUUGAUUUCCAAUAAGGUCACCAUGACGACGUAAUCGCUGGACUUCUUUAACCCGUCCUCAGAACACAACACCCCCUCGUGUGUGUGUGUGUGUGUGUGUGUGUGUGUGUGUGUGUGUGUGUGUGUGUGUGUGUGUGUGUGUGUGAGAGAGAAUUAAAAACCUUUUUAUCUCAUUUGCAACGAUUUGAAUUAUCACAUUUUCAUCUUUCAGGCUUCUGAAAAAUCUCCAAUUGGACUUUUAGUUGUUUUUAUUUAUUAGGAGGAGGAGGAGGGCUGAGGGGUUGGGGGGGUCAAAGGGUCAAAGGCAAAGCAAGAGAGCCUAAUUAAACACAGAAGGAUGCUAAAGUGUGUGUGUGGGGGCUUAAUACUGAUCAUUGAGGAAACCCCUUCAUCUAACUGAGGAAGAGGAGAACAAGAUGUAUUAAUCUGUUUUAUAACUAGUCCAGCUUCACUUAAAGAAAGCAUUACAAAUUAUAAUAUGAAUAAUAAUAAUAAACGUAUUUACAUGAAGCUUGAGGCAGUAGAUGCUUUUAUUAUUAAUCACAAACAAAUGAAGUUUAAAAGAAGCUUCUGUUUACAAUGAGUUCAAUGAUGUCGUACAGCCACGACAUCGAGGAAAUAAAAAGGUGUGUGUGUGUGUGUGUGCGUGUGUGUGUGUGUGUGCGCGCGUGUGUCACACAGCAGGGGGGAGGUAAAUGAGACUUAAGAGGCCGUUGGCCACGUCUAAUUCCUGGAACAGAAUACAAAGCAAUGUGGCUCAGAGUCCAACGUUGUCCUGCGGUCAGAUAUUUAUUUAUCGUUUGUAUUUCUCCUCUAAUUUAUUUUUUAGACGAGUGAUAUUUAUUGUUGGUGGACCAACACAGUUUCAUUGGUUUGUAGAGACGACACACAUACACACUCACUGAGACACACACACACACACACACACACACACACACACUGGUGCAUUCUGGGGAUGAUCUAUUUUCUGACUUUUAUAUUGAUCAGAGAUCAAACAUAGCGACCCAUCCAUAGAUUAUCAUCAAUAACUUGUUGCACUGACCUCCCAUUGAAUAGCUAUGGGAGUUUCCUGACCCCGCCCCCUUGCCAAGGCCCUCCCACUCCCAGUGAUUGGCCGACCCGGCCGUGUCAUUGUAUCACAGCGACAGCAAAACCACUGGACUCGCUGAGCGUAAAGGGGGGUCAGAUGUCUUUACUGUACCAUACUAGAAUUAUUAUCAUUAUUAUUUCUUUAUGUUAUUGAUCCGGCGAUAACUCCACCUGUCAAGCCCCCUUCUGGUCCACGUUAGGCCCCUCUGGGUCCUCUUAGGGGUCCUCGGCCGCUGCCUCACUCCGGACCCGUCUCUCAUUUCAGGAGAGGUCGUUAAUUCUGGCUGCGUUUCGGGGGUCUUCUCAUCGACCGUCGUCUGUCAUUGGCCAAUCAAAACAUGCACGUGAUGACAUCACAGCCACGUCGCCUUCAUGCAGCGCCUCCCAGGAUGUAGCCAGGGCCCAUGUUUUGAUACCAUUCUCCGUUGCCUUGUUUUUUAUUUAGUUUAAUUUAGUUGAACAUGUAAUGAUGAUGAGUGUUCUUCAUGUAAUAGCCUGUGUCCGUUUUAUACCAUUGCCAUUGCCUUCUGCUGAGUUUGUAUAUUUGUGUGAUUUCACUAAAGUGUAAUGGAAACGUUUCAUGUUUUUAAUGUUUCAGACUAAUUCCACUUUUAACGAGUUAAAGCUUCUGAAUAAACAGAUCACUUUUCAAAGAGCAGGAAGCUUCAUGGUCAAGAGUUUCACAAUAAAAGCAAGUUCUACAGGUUUCUGUCACAAAACAGUAUUUCAUUAAUAUAAAUAUUAACCUUUUAUACUUUUUUUCUUUUUCUUUUUUAAAUAUUUGGACAAGUUCGG
Long non-coding RNA from Gasterosteus aculeatus aculeatus (three-spined stickleback), 3354 nucleotides. NCBI's taxonomy places the organism in Eukaryota, Metazoa, Chordata, Actinopteri, Perciformes, Gasterosteidae. The record is from Ensembl.